AAUAGAUGACGCCGUUGACCUUUUCUCAUAUGUUUGACCCUUCGUCUUAUUCAAAAAAUUUACGUAAUUAUAAUUUAUUUUAUUAUGAGUUGUUUUAUCAUUCAUAGUACUUUAAGUGUGAUUUAUAUCUUAUACAUUUGCAUAAAAUUUUUGAAUAAGACGAAUGGUCAAACAUGUAAGAAAAAGUCGUCAUCUAUU
Molecule: non-coding RNA, 198 nt
Organism: Oryza nivara
Lineage: Eukaryota; Viridiplantae; Streptophyta; Magnoliopsida; Poales; Poaceae
Source: Rfam